This 201-nucleotide ribosomal RNA is filed under the name uncultured bacterium. RNAcentral's name for it is "partial 16S ribosomal RNA". It matches the Rfam family "Bacterial small subunit ribosomal RNA", at positions 524 to 721 of the family's 1533-position model. The record is from RNAcentral.
UACGUAGGAGACGAGCGUUUGUCCGGGAGUUACUGGGGCGAAAAGGGCGCGUAGGCGGCCUGGCAAGUGGAAGGUGAAAUCCCUCGGCUUAACCGAGGAACUGCCCUCCAAACUGCUUGGCUUGAGACCGGGAGAGGUGAGUGGAAUUCCCAGUGUAGCGGUGAAAUGCGCAGAUAUCAGGAGGAACACCGGUGGCGAAGG